RNAcentral lists this ribosomal RNA (408 nucleotides) under uncultured bacterium. RNAcentral's name for it is "partial 16S ribosomal RNA". It matches the Rfam family "Bacterial small subunit ribosomal RNA", at positions 28 to 526 of the family's 1533-position model. The record is from RNAcentral.
GACGAAAGCUGGCGGCGUGCCUAAUACAUGCAAGUAUACCUUAGUGGCGAAAGGGUGAGUAAAACGUGGGUAACCUGACAAUAAGAAGGGGAUAACACUUGGAAACAGGUGCUAAUACAGUAUCCUGAUGGAGGAACCCGCGGUGCAUUAGCUAGUUGGGGGGGUAAAGGCAUACACAGGCUACGAUCCGUACCUGGGCUAAGAGGAGUAUCAGUCAAACUGGAACGUAGACACGGUCCAUAUUCCUACGGUAGGCAGCAGUGGGGAAUAUUGGACAAUGGGCGAAAGCCUGAGCCAGCCAUGCCGCGUGUGUGAAGAAGGUCUUCGGAUUGUAAAGCACUUUAAGUUGGGAGGCGUUACCAACAGAAUAAGCACCGGCUAACUUCGUGCCAGCAGCCGCGGUAAUUC